Long non-coding RNA from Daucus carota subsp. sativus, 1152 nucleotides. RefSeq lists it as uncharacterized. The transcript is spliced from 4 exons. The record is from RefSeq and is a predicted model, not a curated record. NCBI's taxonomy places the organism in Eukaryota, Viridiplantae, Streptophyta, Magnoliopsida, Apiales, Apiaceae.
AAUUACCCUGAUUGUCAAAAACUACCUCGUAAUCAGAACGGGUUUUUUUUUGAGUUUGUUAAGGAUUCUCUCCAGGCAAAAGUUUCUCUUAUGCAGUUGAAGGUGAAAAUUAAGUCGUUGAAGAGGAAAUAUAAGUCUCUCAAAGAUUAUGAUGUUGUGUUUGACAAACCCAUGGAAGAGGAAUUGUUUCGCCUUUCCGAUAAGGUUUGGAGCCAAGGGAUUGAUAAUCAGGGUAAUGCUGCUAGCAAGGACAAGGAUAUAAGUAUCGAGAUCAAAGAGGAUGGAGUGAUUGAGGACUGUAGGAAGGAUAAGGAUACGAGCAUUGGGAUAAAUGAGGAUGGAGUGAAUGAGGCCGGUAGGAAGGAAAAGGAUACGAGAAUCGGGAUAAAUGGGGAUGGAGUGAAUGAGGACGGUAGGAAGGACAACGAUAUGAGCAUCGGGAUAAAUGGGGAUAUGGUAGAAGCCUCCAGGCUAAUGUGUCGAAGGGGAGGACAUGGAUGCUAUGGAAAUUUAGUUAGGAGGAAAUAUAAAUCAUGCUAACAGGAGCAGAUGAUGAACUUGAUUGCAAUGAAGAACUGAAGUUCCACAACGAGAUGAAGUCGACGAAGGAAGGAACUUGAGAGACAUUUGGCAUCUAAAGAAGCUUCUCUCCCGCAAGAACCAUCACCAGAUGAUGAUAAUGCCGUUAACCUGCUUGUGCGGAUGCCGGAUGGCGGCCGGCAAGGCCGCAGAUUCCUCAAGUCCCACAAGCUUCAGCAUCUUUUUGACUUCAUCGAUGUUGGUCGGUUGGUCAGACCUGGUACUUACAGACUGGCAAGGCCGUAUCCAAGACGGGCUUUUGGUGUUGGUGAGAGCUCAACAACUUUUGAUGAACUUGGCCUGUCUGGCAGACAGGAGGCCUUGUUUCUGGAGUUAAUAUAGCAGAUAUAGUUAUCGUAAAAUUGUAAUAGGAUCUCGAAGAGUUUACCCAGAUGGACCAACUUUGUUUGUUAGUUGUAAAAGUUGUUUAGAGAUGGAUAUUUUGUCAAAGUUUGUAUCUAUUGGGUAUUUGGUCUUUUAGUCAGACUGUGGCUCAUACAGUUUGAAGUUGAUAUCAAAUCUUAGAUGAGAAUGUUUGCAGUUUGAAAUUACUGAACAUUGUUUCUUGAAUUC